AUAAAACAACACUAUCAUAAGAAUAGACAGUGAGAUAUAAGUAAA
RNAcentral lists this non-coding RNA (45 nucleotides) under Trypanosoma brucei brucei. The record is from RNAcentral. Lineage: Eukaryota; Euglenozoa; Kinetoplastea; Trypanosomatida; Trypanosomatidae.